GUCCCUAGACCGGAAGCAGUUGCUUGGGCCUCGGCGAAGGAUUGACGGAGAUGGGGAGGCAGGCCCGCAGGCCUCUGCCUCCUAGCAUCCUGGGCCUUGUUGCGAGAUAACAACAAUAAUGAUUACACUUCCGGGAAGCUUAAUUCGUGUCAGGCACUGCUAAGCGCUUUACCUACCCUGCCCUUCCUCCUCACCAUAGCUGUGUGAAGUAGGCAGAGGUGGAGGAGACACUGAAGCGACUUCAGAGCCAGAAGGGCGUGCAGGGAAUCAUCGUUGUGAACACAGAAGGCAUUCCCAUCAAGAGCACCAUGGACAAUCCCACCACCACACAGUACGCCAACCUCAUGCACAACUUCAUCUUGAAGGCCCGGAGCACCGUGCGUGAAAUUGACCCCCAGAAUGACCUCACCUUCCUUCGAAUUCGCUCCAAGAAAAAUGAAAUUAUGGUUGCACCAGGUAAGGGGUCUUCCACAUCCCCACUUAGGAGCAGACCCUCACAGUGCAUGCUCUGUAGCUAUCAGGACAGCUUAGCACAUGGGUGUCUCCAUAGGUUCCACAGAAAGGCCUGAAGAGCAGAAGGUACAGAUUUGAUUGCCUUACCACCUGGCCUGUCUCCAGCUGGCGUCCCCAACAAGUACUCAUUCACAGUGACUCUAGGCCAGACCCCGUCCUGGGUUCUAGGCCACAGCGGGGAAUUAUGUUCUCAUGGGGGAGAGAGACAUAUAAGCAUAUCACAGUGUAAUCCUCACCUUGAUGUGGGGGAAUUCAAGGAGCACUUGGGAACAUAGAGGAGGGUGUGAUUAGGGCUGCUUGUGGCUGCUUGUGGCGGUCAGCAAAGGCUUCCCAGAGGAGGGAGCACUUGAGCUGAGUCUUGAGGGCACAGGUGAAGAGUAAGCAAGCAGGGUGGGGCUUGGGGGUGCCGGGGGUGAGAAAGCUACGCUUGAAGAAAAAGGAAUUCAGUGCUUCUAAACCAAAGUGUGAGGCAAAAACACCAUGCGCUAUUUUAUCCUUGAAAAAAUGUUAAUUUGCCCACUUCCAAACGAUAGUCCUAUUUCUCUGGACCCCAUGCAGACAGCCCUUCCUCCAGCACUGGAAGAGAUUGCUGAUUUUGUUUCACAUGAAGUGCUUGGCUUGCACUUGGGGACUGUGUGGUGCAAACAAUACCUGUCUUAGGUGUUAGGAUCAUUCUCAGGAUGAUGAGAUGCUUACCGUGGGAGGAACCCAUAAGGACUAGGACCACAGGAGGGGACAGCAGGGCCACCUGCCCUGCCCUGCCUCACCUCACUCACAUGCACAGCCUGGAGUGGUAGAUCCUCCAGGACUGUUUUUGCAGUUACUUCUCCCCCUCCAUCUCAAUUUUGGCUGAGCCCGGUGGUUGCGUGUGCCUGAGCUAAAUGUGCACAUGGUGAUGGAGGCGGCAGCAGUGCAGCUUGUCUAGGGCGCCAGGAUAUGUGUAGGAAGGAGUGUGAGGUGAUACGUUUCAUCCAGUUUAGAAGGGGCCUCAAACACCAAACUCAGCUGCAUGGACUUGACCCUGUGAGCAGAGGUUUUUUUAAGGCAGGAGGUGAUAGGAUUGUGAUUGGGGGCCUGGAUGAAAGAGGGCAGUGGGGAGGCUGGGACAUUGACUGCCCCUGGGCUUUGCAACACAGGUGCCGAGGAGGCUGGCUGCAGAAUUCUGAGGUAUUUGAUGGCGGUCAACCACUCCUUGCAGCAGAGCAAUAUUGGUUCUGUUCCCAGGCCUGUUCGGGUCCAGUUGAGCUGCUUGGAAGGAUGUGAAGGAGAGACCCAUAGAGCCAGUCACAGGGGCCCACAGUCUCCUGGGGACACUCCCUGGAGGGGUGGGGACAGAGCAGGUCAGUCACAAAUAAGAACCUAGGAUAACUUCAGAGUCAUUUAUUCCAAAAACAUACAUACACUGUUUAUCAAUUUAAUCACUGUCUAAUGCAUCUCCGACCAAUGAUGAGGUCUCUGAUUCUGUCAGCAAAAAUACACUGCAGCAGGCACAGCAUCUGUUUUCCCGGCUUCACCUCUUACGAGCAUGACCUGUAGCAAGUCACAGAACACCUCCGAACCUCUGUUUCCACAUCUGUAAAGUGUCUAGUAGGGGCCAUUACUGCUCUGGUAUUCUGAGAUGCCUCAUCUGGUUGAGUAUGUUGGCACGAGUUUGGGCAGAAAGACUUGGAAUCAGAUUUGAACUCGCAUCCCUCCCAAGACUUCAUGCUGUGUGAUUACAGACAAACCUCCACUCCCCUAGAAAUUAGGCUACCAACCCUCCAAAUCAGAGCAGACCUUGUGCCCCACCUGGAAGCUCACAAUGUGAAGCAAGGACAGAUUAUGUGGUCUCCAAGUCGACAGACUCUCGGUGGACAGCAUCUCUUGGCUUAAAGCUUCCAGGAAUGUCUGCUCUGGAACAGCUGAGUUAACACAGUGUAAUCAAGCUUUAACACACUGCUUUCCACAGAGCACUGGGAGUGCUAUUAUUGAAUGUAGAGCUUGAUUAUUCGGAAGAAAAGACACUGGUAUUGCUAAUAGUAUCUGUUUUUAUCAGUUUUAUCGGUGGCUUGUUAAUUAUUUCUAUUUUUAUUAGUGAUUUUUCACUUACGCAGAUUGCUUAGCCAUGAAACUUAAGUCUUAUAAUAUCUGUUCCUUCCCAGAUGUCCGUUGUCAUGGGAAGAAGCAACCUUCAGGCUUGAAUCUGAACAGACACAAAGCAGACAUGGCCAAGGUCCUGCCAUUUUUCACAUGUUCAGCAGGGGGGUAGACCAGAGGCAUUCAGCAUCUGAGUCAAACCCAGCUACCCCACCUGGCAUGUUUACCUUGGCUUGGGCAAGUCAUUUAAUUCUCUGAGCCUUAGUGUUCUCAUUAGUAAAAAUGAGAAAACACUGGGCCCUGCCUCAUAGAGUGAUUCAAGGAUUCAUUGAAGUGCUGUAUGAGAAGUGAUUGACCCAGAGCCAGCACGUGGAAGCCUUCGUGAAUGUUUGCAGUUUGAUUAUUAAGUGGGCAAAGCUGAAACACCCCGCUUCUCCCACUUCCUCUUUUAUAAAGUAAGAGGCAGUCAGGCUCACCCCAGAGGACUUGGACUUGCUAUGAUUUCAUGAUAGACAUUCCUUCUGACUGGCUGGAUCCCCAGAGCUGAAAUUCAGGUAGCUUUGGACCCCUUUGACCUGGUGCCUUUGAAAUUUUCUACUCCAGGAGGCUCUGGAAGGCUAGCAACUGAACUUAUGACAGAACUGACAUUAACCCAAGACCAGCGGGGUUGAGGUUAGAAUUCUAUCUUUGAUACUAACUGGCUGGGUAACCUUAAACUAGUGGUUCUUCGUGCAGCAUCAGCAUCACCUGGGAACUUGUUAAAAAUGCAAAUUAUCUGGCUCCACCCCAGACCCACUGAGUCCAAAGCCUUGGGGGUGGGACCAGUAGUGUUGUUUUAAACAGCCUUCCGAGUGAUUCCGACACCCUGUAGUUUGAGAACCACUGCUGUAGGAAACCUUGAACCUGAGUUUCCCUACCCCAAAAAACGUGAUAAUCCUACCUCCCUGUUGGUACUGGGAAGAUUAGAAAUGAGGAUGCGGGGACUUCCCUGGUGGUCCACUGGUUAAAAAUCCUCCUUCCAAUUCAGGGGACGCGGGUUCGAACCCUGGUCAGGGAACUAAGAUCCCACAUGCCGCAGGGCAGCUAAGCCCACGCACCACAACUACUGAGUCCACAUGCCUCAACAAGAGAAAAACGCGUAUGCGACAACUAGAGAGAAGCCCACACGCCACAAGGAAAGAUCCUGCACACCUCAACAAAGAUCCCUCAUGCCACAACUAAGACCUGAUGCAGCC
This is a long non-coding RNA of Phocoena sinus (vaquita), 3824 nucleotides long. Lineage: Eukaryota; Metazoa; Chordata; Mammalia; Artiodactyla; Phocoenidae. The record is from Ensembl.